AAUGAGAGUGAAGAUGGGGAUUGAGGGAAGAUGAGAGGGGAUGACGAGAGAAAGAAGUAACAAAAGUGAAAACUAAAACUAAAAACUGAAAUCUAUUUGAAAUUGUUUUCACUUUCAAGUUUUUGUUUUCACUUUUGUUACUCCUCCUCUCUAUCCUCCUCUCUCAUCCUCUCU
This 174-nucleotide microRNA precursor is filed under the name Prunus dulcis (almond). RNAcentral describes it as "sRNA ncRNA". Lineage: Eukaryota; Viridiplantae; Streptophyta; Magnoliopsida; Rosales; Rosaceae. The record is from RNAcentral.